Small RNA from Erwinia sp., 175 nucleotides. It matches the Rfam family "Gammaproteobacterial sRNA STnc100". NCBI's taxonomy places the organism in Bacteria, Pseudomonadati, Pseudomonadota, Gammaproteobacteria, Enterobacterales, Erwiniaceae. The record is from Rfam.
GCUGCCGCUUCGGCUGCUAUCUUUAACCGGCAGCGAAUCCCCCUGAGCGGCGGGGCGCAGAGUCGAUAUCUGCCUGAGAGCGCAAACAAACAUGACCUGGUUUGUUUACCGGGAGGCACCCGGCGCUGCAACUUCAGUUACGCUCUUUAUCCGCGUCGUCGGCACCGUAAUAGAG